Molecule: ribosomal RNA, 301 nt
Filed under: uncultured bacterium
Lineage: Bacteria
Description: partial 16S ribosomal RNA
Rfam family: Bacterial small subunit ribosomal RNA
Source: RNAcentral
CAGUCGCCGCGGUAAAACGAAGGGUGCAAGCGUUACUCGGAAUUACUGGGCGUAAAGCGUGCGUAGGUGGUGGUUUAAGUCCGUUGUGAAAGCCCUGGGCUCAACCUGGGAAUUGCAGUGGAUACUGGAUCACUAGAGUGUGGUAGAGGAUAGUGGAAUUUCCGGUGUAGCAGUGAAAUGCGUAGAGAUCGGAAGGAACAUCUGCGGCGAAGGCGACUAUCUGGGCCAACACUGACACUGAGGCACGAAAGCGUGGGGAGCAAACAGGAUUAGAGACCCCUGUAGUCCCUGUCUCUUAUAC